UAGCAUAUCAGUUACAGAUAAGUAAGAUAAGUUAAUUGAUUCUUGGGUUCAAGAGAAGAGGAGGAUGAAGAAAUCUCUGAGUAGCUAACAAGGGCUAAGUAAGCAAUCCGAGGGGUUAAAGGUCUUGGCCAGAGGCCCAACAGUGGCUUUCUGACAGUUCUGGGAUUUGAACUCACAACCUUCUGGUCACUUCACUUACAGAAGGAGACGGUUAUCCUCAGAGACCACGAUGGGAGACGAAUGGAUGACCAUCUUCAUUACCAAAAACAGACACUACCAAUACCUGGAGAUGCCGUUUGCGCUAGUCAAUGCUUUAUUGUGUUCCAAGCCUUGAUUAGUGAAAUUCUUCCUGAAUUCCUUUAUUCCUGUCAUAUAUACAUUGAUGAUGACAUCCUGAUCGACUCCAAAUUUGAGAAGGAACACAUAAAACAGGUGAGAGCAGUCCUAAGAAACGCAAUUGAGAAUAACCGGUAUGUCACAUUUAAAAAGUGUGAAUGUCAUCAACGAUCUGUAAAGUUCUUAGGUUACGUCAUCGACAAAAAUGGGACUGAGACGAUUUUAGCAGGAAACAUGGCAAGCACCAUCACACACAGCACUGUUGCCGAACUUAUUAACAAAUCAGAAAGACUUGAAGUGUUGCGGACCAACUUCCAUGAAUAUCCACUGACGAAGGCACAACUGAUCUGGUGCUGGCAUACAUAGUCCCCUGGGUAUGGAGACCUUUGGGACACCCUGUAGAAAAAUAAUGCCUACAGAGAUGAACUACAACAUGGGGAACCAGGAACUCCUGGCUAUCAAGGCAGCCUUAAAAGAAUGGUGACAUCACUACUGAUUGUCAUCACUACUGAUCACUGGUUGUCAUCACUACUGAUCACAAGAACCUUGAUUAUGUCAAGUCUGCCAAAAGACUGAACCUGCAUCAAGUAAGCAACUCCAUUACAGUCAAGAAUUUACUGUAAACCACCUUGAGGAGGAACACGCUGGGACAGAGGCUUGCUGUGGUCAGCCGGACCUUCCUUUACGGCAGAGCUCUGUGGAGACACACACAUUAUACACAACCUAAAAUUUCUGAUUACUGUAGAUGUCUGUAAGUUGGACUCGCUACCUGUGGUUGUUGGACAGCAGUUGGAGGCCGCUGUUGAGUUCGAAUAGUUGCCCGAGUUGCUGAUUGGUUCAUCUUGGCCAGGACAACAUCGGCUAUCAUCUGCC
Ictalurus punctatus (channel catfish) is the source of this 1209-nucleotide long non-coding RNA. RefSeq lists it as uncharacterized. NCBI's taxonomy places the organism in Eukaryota, Metazoa, Chordata, Actinopteri, Siluriformes, Ictaluridae. The transcript has 5 exons. The record is from RefSeq and is a predicted model, not a curated record.